CGGAGGAAAAGAAACCAACAGGGAUUGCCUCAGUAGCGGCGAGUGAAGCGGCAAAAGCUCAAAUUUGAAAUCUGGCGUCUUUGGCGUCCGAGUUGUAAUUUGAAGAAGGUAUCUUUGGGCCCGGCUCUUGUCUAUGUUCCUUGGAACAGGACGUCACAGAGGGUGAGAAUCCCGUGCGAUGAGAUGACCCGGGUCUGUGUAAAGUUCCUUCGACGAGUCGAGUUGUUUGGGAAUGCAGCUCUAAGUGGGUGGUAAAUUCCAUCUAAAGCUAAAUAUUGGCGAGAGACCGAUAGCGAACAAGUACAGUGAUGGAAAGAUGAAAAGAACUUUGAAAAGAGAGUGAAAAAGUACGUGAAAUUGUUGAAAGGGAAGGGCUUGAGAUCAGACUUGGUAUUUUGCAUGCUGCUCUCUCGGGGGCGGCCGCUGCGGUUUACCGGGCCAGCAUCGGUUUGGAGCGGCAGGAUAAUGGCGGAGGAAUGUGGCACGGCUUCUGCUGUGUGUUAUAGCCUCUGACGAUACUGCCAGCCUAGACCGAGGACUGCGGUUUUUACCUAGGAUGUUGGCAUAAUGAUCUUAAGUCGCCCGUCUUG
Molecule: ribosomal RNA, 590 nt
Filed under: Candida albicans
Lineage: Eukaryota; Fungi; Ascomycota; Pichiomycetes; Serinales; Debaryomycetaceae
Description: LSU rRNA
Rfam family: Eukaryotic large subunit ribosomal RNA
Source: RNAcentral